UUCCUGUCCUGGGGAUAGCCUGCAACAAGCCUUUCGUUUUGGGGAUGUUUGUACGAUAGCACGAGUCUCUCCAGGAACUGGGGUCUCCUGAUGUCAACGAGUCCUCCAAAUUCUCCAGCCCUCCCUCUUCCCUCUGUCUUCCUACUCUCUCCCGCUAUACCCUCCAUGAGUGCAAGCGCAAGGAGGCAGUCCACACCGGACCCAGGCUUCCCCGUUCAUGUGCAUGGUGUCCCUAGCCAGGCUCAGGAAGCAACUACAAUGGAUUCCACACCUCCCGCCAAGCUGGGCAAGUCACCAUGACGACCGAUACAAACACAAUGAUGACUUUGGCAUAACUUGCCCAUACGGCAUAGCUGGAAACCCAAAAACCAAGAAAAUAACAACCUGCUCGCUUGUACGCAAAUGGCUCCUAUUCCACUUCCACGUCUCCACCGUCCACACAGGUAGCUCCAAGGAACUCCUUCUGGAGAUAAAUAUAGAAGAACAGUGCAUGUGUCAAGAAACAAGAAGAAUCGAUUCCAAAGAACAUUUGUCACUUAAAAGUAGAUUUCCUUGGUUUCUGUGUCUUAGUAAUGUCUGCAAAACUAAUUUAAGCAUCCGAACUGUGUGAGGUUGCUUUUCAUACUCGAAUGGCACCUUUGCUAUUUCUGUUAAGCCACCAUUGUUUCUGAUCCCCACAAUUUCAGUCCCUAGAAAACAAAAGGCUUAGAGGCAUCUAGCUCUAAAUUAGUAAAUAGUUUCCUGAUACUUGAUAAAGUUAAUUUGAGUUUAAAUCCAUUGUGAUAGCCGUGACCCUCACCAGGACAAGCAGAUUUGAAAAUGGAUGGAUGGCUCUAUUGUAAUAGCAAUGGAGUUUUAUGCAACUGAGAAUGCGGUGAUCCAUUCUAUUUUCAAUACUGAUGAUGCGCCUGCAGUGCUGCUCAGUGCAGUUAUAUAUAAUCCAGUCAAUUUUUUAUGACCAUAGGUUCUGAGUAAGAUGUCAAAUAAAUUUUACGCCUGGCUGACAUUGAUGGGAAUGUAAUGUUUUUUUGCAUUUGUUCUGUUUUUUCAUAUGCCCACCAGGGAAAUGAAUAUACAUGCAAGGUGUGUUUGGUUAGACAUGAAAAAUUAAAUAGAUAUUUGUACCACUUUUCUUCAUAAAAGCUCUUGAACUGUGUUUUUGUGCUCAAUUGGGCCUGUUUUCUCCUGUUUGGAAAGCCCAGCACUUAGUCUUCAGUCUUAAAUGCAUCUCUGUACUUACUGUCAUGUCUUUCGGUUGAUUUAUUCUCUCUUAGGAAUUUUUCAUAGCUCAUGUUUGUGUUUUCCAUACAAGUUAUAUACAGCACCUUGUUUCAGAGUGAAGGAUAUUCUGCUUCAAAGAACAUACUUCAUCUUUGGCAGAAUAUGAAGAAUGUCAGUAUGUUCAGCACAUACAUUGAUGAUAGUUCUUCUUAGUGAGAUCAUAAAAAGUAAAAGUAAAAAUGUGCUGUUUAAAAAUAAUCAAAAAAGCAGUCCAAUAUCAUAAAUGUCUUUACUGGUGAUACAGGAAAAUGUUUUGUGAAUGAUUUCCUAUUGUUUAAUACCAUAUUGAU
This is a long non-coding RNA of Lepisosteus oculatus (spotted gar), 1571 nucleotides long. RefSeq lists it as uncharacterized. Lineage: Eukaryota; Metazoa; Chordata; Actinopteri; Semionotiformes; Lepisosteidae. The record is from RefSeq and is a predicted model, not a curated record.